This 685-nucleotide long non-coding RNA is filed under the name Nicotiana tabacum (common tobacco). Its description in RNAcentral is "long non-coding RNA (NTAB_LNC002425)". The record is from RNAcentral. Lineage: Eukaryota; Viridiplantae; Streptophyta; Magnoliopsida; Solanales; Solanaceae.
UGGGCGACCCAGAACAGAAAGUAUUCCCGCAUUUUACUGGUGUGCGACCUAGAACAGAAAGUACUCCCGCAUUUUACUGGUGUGCGACCUAGAACAGAAAGUACUCCCGCAUUUUACUGGUGGGCGACCUAGAACAGAAAGUAUUCCCGCAUUUUACUGGUGGGCGACCUAGAACAGAAAGUAUUCCCGCAUUUUACUGGUGGGCGACCUAGACCAGAAAGUAUUCCCGCAUUUUACUGGUGUGCGACCUAGAACAGAAAGUACUCCCGCAUUUUACUGGUGGGCGACCUAGAACAGAAAGUAUUCCCGCAUUUUACUGGUGGGAGACCUAGAACAGAAAGUAUUCCCGCAUUUUACUGGUGGGCGACCUAGAACAGAAAGUAUUCCCGCAUUUUACUGGUGGGCGACCUAGAACAGAAAGUAUUCCCGCAUUUUACUGGUGGGCGACCUAGAACAGAAAGUAUUCCCGCAUUUUACUGGUGGGCGACCUAGAACAGAAAGUGUUCCCGCAUUUUACUGGUGGGCGACCUAGAACAGAAAGUGUUCCCGCAUUUUACUGGUGGGCGACCCAGAACAGAAAGUGUUCCCGCAUUUUACUGGUGGGCGACCUAGAACAGAAAGUAUUCCCGCAUUAUACAGGUGGGCGACCUAGAACAGAAAGUACUCCCGCAUUUUACUGGUGGGC